This 504-nucleotide ribosomal RNA is filed under the name uncultured bacterium. Its description in RNAcentral is "SSU rRNA". It matches the Rfam family "Bacterial small subunit ribosomal RNA", at positions 26 to 518 of the family's 1533-position model. The record is from RNAcentral.
AGGACGAACGCUGGCGGCGCGCUUAACACAUGCAAGUCGAGCGAGAACCGGGACUUCGGUCCCGGGGACAGCGGCGAACGGGUGAGUAACACGUGGGUAAUCAACCCUCGGCACCGGGAUAGCCCGAGGAAACUCGGAUUAAUACCGGAUAGCCCCUCCGACUCUCGAGUCGGUCGGGAAAGGUAGCUUAGGCCUCUGGCCGGGGACGAGCCCGCGGCGGAUUAGCUUGUUGGUGGGGUAAUGGCCUACCAAGGCAACGAUCCGUAGCUGGUCUGAGAGGACGAUCAGCCACACUGGGACUGAGACACGGCCCAGACUCCUACGGGAGGCAGCAGUGGGGAAUCUUGCGCAAUGGGCGAAAGCCUGACGCAGCGACGCCGCGUGAGGGAAGAAGGCCUUGGGUUGUAAACCUCUUUCAGGGGGGACGAAGCUACUCGGGUUAAUAGCCCAGGAGGGUGACGGUACCUCCAGAAGAAGCCCGGCUAACUACGUGCCAGCAGCCGC